This 252-nucleotide long non-coding RNA is filed under the name Lathyrus oleraceus (garden pea). Its description in RNAcentral is "Pisum sativum (pea) long non-coding RNA (PSAT_LNC000949)". The record is from RNAcentral. Lineage: Eukaryota; Viridiplantae; Streptophyta; Magnoliopsida; Fabales; Fabaceae.
UUUGCUAGCCACUUUGAGCCUAAGCCUUUCUUUCGGUGACAUAGCCUACAACUCUUAACCAUUUGACUUGAAAGAUUCUUUCUUUCCACCCUCUCUUUGGAGUUAGGUAGAAUUUUGGUUCUUAGAUUUGAAUGAAAAAUAUUAAAUUUAUGGUUGCUCUUGGAAGUGAGCAAAGUUCUAAGUUUGGGGUACUAGAGUUUAGUGGUCAAAAUUUCAAAAAUAUUGAGAAAAUAAGAAGUGGAAAAAGUCACA